ACAGCAGAGAAGUGAGCUGAGUCCUGCCUUUCUGGAGCUGCUUCAUCCAAUCCUCGCACCAAGUGAGCUGAUCAAAUGCUUCCAGCCACUCCAGGUGCCCAGACAGACCAUUUGCCUGGCAAUGAACAUUGUGUGCUGCCUGCUGUGGGUGGGAUACUUAGGCAAAGAGUUGGCAUUUUAAACAAGUAAGUUUUUGGACUGCAGGCAGCAUUGUAUUAUCGUGAGGCAGACACCAUAAGAUUUUCUGAAAAGACCACAGAGCCUUGCUGACAGGUUUGAUGGACAAAAGGAAGCACGCAUGACUGGAAAGUCUGGAUUAUCAUACAGUCAGUGUUCAUUGGCAGCUUUCAAGCAGAAUCACAAGCACUGGAUGGUGGGACAUGUAUUUUAGUGCAUAGUUCAGAUGAGAGAGAAUGAAGUCUAAUAAUAUCCACAUGAGGAAUGGCCAACUUCGCUAAAACUCUCAGCUACACAGGAGUUCUCCUGGCCCCUAUGCAGGCUGACACACAAACAAGAUGUGCUCCAGGACCCAAGAAUAAAAUAAGAUCCUCUGGAAGCAAUUCCAGACUGCUACAGAUGUGUGGUUUAUCAGCACCAGUUGUAAUGGCAACAAGCAUGUAAUAUCCCGCUGCAAAAACCCACCCAAACCCCCCAACUACAGCAUAAAAUGCGUCUGUUGAGGUAAAGACUCAGGGAGAAAAAUAAAGGAGUGACCUACAGCCCUCCACAAAAGAAAGACCCUGGCACCAAUGGCACUGCACUGGUGAGAGCUCCCAGGGCAAUUACUUCAAAGAUCAAGAAGGAAAGCAGAGGAUGGAUGGAGGUUCUUCAAAGAAGCUGCUUGGCUGGAAGUCACCUUUGCCACCGCUGGGUCCCCUUGAUUAUUUCAGACUGGUAGAAAUGCCAGAAGAUUUCUUAACAACAGGACUGUGAAAAAGUAUCCUUCCUCUCUAGAAAUGUCCUAUUCCUUUUGGAACCAGCCACAGCUAAAGUAACCUGGACUUUCCUAAAGUCAGUAGGGUUUCUUAACAGUAAAUGGAUGGCUCGGGACUUUUUGUCACAUGGUGCCAGGAAGCACCAUUUGUGUUCAUAACUGUCUGCCUUCUGCCAAAGCAUCUGCCAAGCUUCUGAGCGUCUCCAUAUUACUUUUAAACAUCCUUUCAGAUGGAUCCCUGUCCAACCAACUCAGAGAGGCAUAUUAUUUCUAGGUGACUUGGUUAGUCUAAUGCCAUCCCUGGCAGGCUUCUAGUCUCACAUUUUAUGCUGGAAGACAUCAAGAUGUCAUGUUUAUCAACCCUGUUGCUUUAUGUCCUGCUUUACAAAGUAUUUAGGGAAUGUGAACUGACCCCAAAUAACAGAGUGCUGCUUCAACACUUAGCAUAAUUUGAUACUGUGACACACCCCAGAUAGUUUAAAGUUUAAGAGUGAGAUUUUGACAUCAUUACUCUUCCUGCAACUAAAACUGGAUUUUGACCUGUUUCAGCCUUAGGAAAAUUGAAACUUAUCCUGAAAAGUGCUUCCAAGUACUGGUCUGACAGUUCAUGGCUGUCGUGAUACAUAUAAAAGGGUUAUCCUCAAGGGUACCUCUGCAAGGUGCAAGAGCACCUGUUUUUUUGUUUGGUUGGUUUUUUUCUUUCUAUUUGUUUUUAAAACGUGAUACAUAAUAAACAGUGCUGCAUAACUAGUUUUAUUCCAUGUAUUUAUGCAUCAAGAUGUAUGAAUAAAGCACUAUCUAGGAAACAGCACAAGAAUUAUGGUUGGCAACAGACCAUAAGCAUAUAAUCAGUGGUUCAGAACAAUGAUAUGACCUUUGAUUAUAUGAUCACAUAUUUUUCCACUGGACUUACUACUGCAGAAGCUGGAAGGCACAUGGUAGAAGAGGCAGAAGGCUUUAAGAGAGAAAG
Non-coding RNA from Phalacrocorax carbo (great cormorant), 1904 nucleotides. Lineage: Eukaryota; Metazoa; Chordata; Aves; Suliformes; Phalacrocoracidae. The record is from RefSeq and is a predicted model, not a curated record.